CGAGGCGCUGUCUACGAGUCGGGUUGUUUG
Molecule: non-coding RNA, 30 nt
Filed under: Arabidopsis thaliana (thale cress)
Lineage: Eukaryota; Viridiplantae; Streptophyta; Magnoliopsida; Brassicales; Brassicaceae
Also listed under: 1 other name
Source: RNAcentral